This 640-nucleotide ribosomal RNA is filed under the name uncultured bacterium. RNAcentral's name for it is "bacterial SSU rRNA". It matches the Rfam family "Bacterial small subunit ribosomal RNA", at positions 231 to 885 of the family's 1533-position model. The record is from RNAcentral.
UCGCGGCCUAUCAGCUUGUUGGUGGGGUAACGGCCUACCAAGGCAACGACGGGUAGCUGGUCUGAGAGGACGAUCAGCCACACUGGGACUGAGACACGGCCCAGACUCCUACGGGAGGCAGCAGUGGGGAAUCUUGCGCAAUGGGCGAAAGCCUGACGCAGCAACGCCGCGUGAGGGACGAAGGUCUUCGGGUUGUAAACCUCUUUCAGCAGAGACGAUUGUGACGGUACCUGCAGAAGAAGCUCCGGCCAACUACGUGCCAGCAGCCGCGGUAAUACGUAGGGAGCGAGCGUUGUCCGGAUUCAUUGGGCGUAAAGAGCUCGUAGGCGGCUCGGUAAGUUGGGUGUGAAACCUCCAGGCUUAACCUGGAGACGCCACUCAAUACUGCCGUGGCUAGAGUCCGGUAGGGGACCACGGAAUUCCUGGUGUAGCGGUGAAAUGCGCAGAUAUCAGGAGGAACACCGGUGGCGAAGGCGGUGGUCUGGGCCGGCACUGACGCUGAGGAGCGAAAGCGUGGGGAGCGAACAGGAUUAGAUACCCUGGUAGUCCACGCCGUAAACGUUGGGCACUAGGUGUGGGGGAUUAUCAACGUCCUCCGUGCCGUAGCUAACGCAUUAAGUGCCCCGCCUGGGGAGUACGG